This 71-nucleotide transfer RNA is filed under the name Craterolophus convolvulus. Its description in RNAcentral is "tRNA-Trp". It matches the Rfam family "tRNA". From Rfam's summary of the family: Transfer RNA (tRNA) molecules are approximately 80 nucleotides in length. Their secondary structure includes four short double-helical elements and three loops (D, anti-codon, and T loops). Lineage: Eukaryota; Metazoa; Cnidaria; Staurozoa; Stauromedusae; Craterolophidae. The record is from RNAcentral.
GGGGGAUUAGAUUAAGUAGAUCAAGUAGCCUUCAAAGUUACCAGGUGUUGGUUCGAAUCCAGCCUCCCUUG